Non-coding RNA from Phasianus colchicus (ring-necked pheasant), 877 nucleotides. NCBI's taxonomy places the organism in Eukaryota, Metazoa, Chordata, Aves, Galliformes, Phasianidae. The record is from RefSeq and is a predicted model, not a curated record.
UAAGUCCAACAAGGGUGUCCCUGGGGACAGGGCUCCCUGCAGCACUGGGGCUGUGCUGCCGAGCUGCCGGGCUCCCACUGUCAUGCAUGAGCCCCGGCUGUGCAGCAGGGCCUGACCACCUUCUCUGCCCCGUGUUCACCUACAGGGGAAGAAGGAGCGGGCGAGGAGACGGGGGCUCGCCUUCUGGAUACAGACGAUCUGCCUCAUCCUGGUCUGCCUCCAGCUGCUACUCGUUGUCGUGCUGGGCUCUGCAGUACUGUACGCCCAGCACUAUGACCAGGAGCUCUUCUAUCAGCUCCUGCCUCGAGUGCUGCCCCGGGCAAUGUUCGCUUCCCUGGUGUACUUUACAAGCAGUACCCUGCAUGUGGUCUGUGAUGGGCUGCUGCCCAUCUGACCGCCCUGCUCAGUAACCCUUCCCAGCUCGGGGCUGCGCGGUGGGGCGUGGGGAGAGGGGUCUGUCCCCACGGAAGGGGCCUCUCCUGUGCUCCUGCCCCCCAGAGGCGCACAGGCACAGCUGUGGGCAGUGCAGGCAGGUGGCCGAGUGCCACCGCUUUGGACUUAUCAGUAAGUUUCUACUGUCGUCGUGAGUCGUUGCCAGCUGAACAGCACCACCUGCGACAACCCAUCAGACUGAAGAUCCACACCUGACACCGGGACGUGGCUGGAUCUACGAGUGCUUUGCUGUCUGUCUGUCCCUCUUUCCCCAUUUCCUGCCUUUUCUCUUUGCCAUCUCUUAUUUGACUCUUUGCAGCAGCCAUUGCCUACAAUUGUUUACCUCUACCGCUUACUCAUUGCAAUUAGCCCAUUGGCCAGUGUUACCUCCAAUUGGUUGUUGCUGACUGUUAAGAAAGCUCUCAAAAAAUGGAUGUGUAUUAUU